This 253-nucleotide ribosomal RNA is filed under the name uncultured bacterium. Its description in RNAcentral is "partial 16S ribosomal RNA". It matches the Rfam family "Bacterial small subunit ribosomal RNA", at positions 524 to 776 of the family's 1533-position model. The record is from RNAcentral.
UACAGAGGGUGCGAGCGUUGUCCGGAAUUACUGGGCGUAAAGGGCGCGUAGGCGGCCAGGUAAGUAGGGGGUGAAAUCUGACGGCUCAACCGUCAGACUGCCUUCUAGACUGCCCGGCUAGAGCACGGUAGAGGCUGGUGGAAUUCCCGGUGUAGCGGUGGAAUGCGUAGAGAUCGGGAAGAACAUCCGUGGCGAAGGCGGCCAGCUGGGCCGUUGCUGACGCUGAGGCGCGACAGCGUGGGGAGCAAACAGG